GAUGCCUCUGUUUCUCAGCUCUACUUAUUUAUUAAACCUUUAUUUUACAUUGCAGCUUAGCUGAUUGACAAUGUUGUGAUGGUUUCAGGUGGACAGCGAAGGCAUGUGGGAUCCCAUCUCCCCAACCAGGGAUCGAACUGGCACCCCCUGCAUUGGAAGAUUAAGUGUUAACCACUGGACGGACAGGGAAGUCCCUUUGUAGUGAGAUGUUAACCCCUCAGAACGUGUCCCUGACAAAAACGUCACAUUCACCAUAAAAAGCCCGUGGCCUUGGCCUCUGCCAGGCUCUCCUGUCAAUCAUGGGCUGCCUUUCAGAAGUAAGGACUUGAUGAGGUGGCCACUGAAUUGUUCAUCAGAACUUCCUGAUGAAGAAAGAAGGAAGAUCAUGAGCUCAGAUGCCCCGGGGCCUCAGCCAGUCUUCCAGAGCCAGGACCAACCUGGAAACCUGAUUAUCAGCAUCAGGCCCAGAGGGGAGGAGAUGUGGGAAGGAAGGGUGGGGAAAGUCAAUACCUGGGCCUUCUGGAGGGCCUCACUUGCUGAUAGAAUCAUCUACACCCUUUUUCUAGAUUGCACAAGCACCAGAGGAUUGAUGCUUUCCAACUGCGGUGCUGGAGAAGACUCGAGAGUCCCUUGGACUGCAAGGAAAUCAAACCAGUCAAUCCUAAAGGACAUCAGUCCUGAAUAUUCAUUGGAAGGAAGCUCCAACACUUUGGCCACCUGAUGCAAAGAACUGACUCAUUGGAAAACACCCUGAUGCUGGGAAAGAUUGAGGGCAGGAGGAGAAGGGGACAAUAGAGGCUGAGAUGGUUGGAUGGCAUCACCGAUGCAGUGGACAUGAGUUUGAGCAAGCUCCAAAGGAUAGUGGAAGACAGGGGAGCCUGGCAUGCUGCAGUCCACGGGGUCACAAAAAGUCAGACACGACUUAGCAAUUGAACAACAAUACAAUGUUUGAUUUUCUCUUUCUGACUUACUUCACUCUGUAUGACAGUCUCUAGGUGCACCCAAGUCUCAGCAAAUGGCACAAUUUCACUCCUUUAUUUGAAAUCAAGUUGGUUUUUUUUUUUUUUUUUUAAGGGAGAAAAACAGUGAAAGCAUUGAAAAACUAAGUCACUUGUCCUGAAAACCCAGAAGGAUGAUGGGGCUGCUUGAGGGGCCUGGUUUACCAGACACACCAACCGCAGAGGCAGGAGGGAUGGGAGCUGGACAGCUUCCCUGACAACGCAGGCUCUGGAGCCACGCUCAUCUUUAAUGCACGGCUGUGCUGUGUGCUCCUGACAUCUCAAGCGGGGAUGCGGGAGUCUGGGAUGCUCUCCCAGCCACUCUUGGCUCCCUGUGAGCAAUACCCUUCACAUCUCAUUAGACCUGCCUGCGUCCAUCUGGACCCUGUCAAUCUUGAUCCCGAGCAGGUGGGAGGGAGUAGGUGAGUGGAGGGAGGUGUAUGAGGCUCUGGAAAGAAGCAGGGCUGCCUGAGCCCCAAGACCAAAGUGGGUAAGAGUUUGGGCUUAAAUGAAAUGAAAUUGGAUCUGAGCUCCUCUACUAACUGUGUCAUUUUUGGCAAGUUAUUCAACCUCUCUGUAUCCCAGUUUCCUUAUUCAUAAAAUAGGGGCCACUAAAACUUACUGCACAAUUGGCUUUUAGGGGACUUGCCUAGGGGUCCAGUGGUUAAGACUCGCUUUCACUACAGGGGCGCAGGUUCAAACCCUGGUGGGGGGAACUAUGAUCC
Molecule: long non-coding RNA, 1723 nt
Organism: Bos taurus (domestic cattle)
Lineage: Eukaryota; Metazoa; Chordata; Mammalia; Artiodactyla; Bovidae
Source: Ensembl